Molecule: long non-coding RNA, 212 nt
Filed under: Lathyrus oleraceus (garden pea)
Lineage: Eukaryota; Viridiplantae; Streptophyta; Magnoliopsida; Fabales; Fabaceae
Description: Pisum sativum (pea) long non-coding RNA (PSAT_LNC007260)
Source: RNAcentral
CGCAUGUGAAGAAAUCACAUGCAAGGGAAGAGGAGCCCUUGAGUUUGGCGCCUACAUGUGAUUUCUCACAUGCAAGGAAGAGGCGCCUUCCUCUUGGCACCUUAGUGUAGGGAAAUUGGAAGGGGCGCCCUUCCUAGUGGCGCCUAAGUGUUGUUUUGUGUUGUAUAUAUUACCACAUCAACAACAGGAGUCUCAGUACAUUGAUCAGUUAC